RNAcentral lists this long non-coding RNA (1498 nucleotides) under Physcomitrium patens. RNAcentral describes it as "long non-coding RNA (PPAT_LNC002776)". Lineage: Eukaryota; Viridiplantae; Streptophyta; Bryopsida; Funariales; Funariaceae. The record is from RNAcentral.
AGUUUCGACGAUGACUCUAGGACUCUUUGGCAGAUCGAAGAGUGGAGUUUGAUAGCAGAUUGAAUAAAGUUUCUAUAGGUGUUGAUUUUGGGUGAUUUGGAGUUGUUAUGACUUUGUGAGAGCUUUGCAAAGUCAAUGCUUGUUUCGGAUGACUUGAGUUUUAUGAAAUAAAAUAAGGUUUAUAUUUUGGGUGAUUUCAAGAGUUUUGUAGCAGAUCUAUGGAUGAAAUUUUGUGAGUUUAUGGUUGUAGUUGUGUUCAAUAUGUGUUGUGAAUUUGAGCUCGAUCUAACGGUUGAAUUGAAGGAUAUUGAGGUUUAAGUGGGUCAAGGUCUCAAAAAGUAGAAUUUUAGGUCUUGUGAGAGUUUUUAAGAUUUCUUGCAAUCUACUACUUGGAUUGGAGUGAAACUUGUGUGAGAGGAUAUAAGACUUAUUUUUCUAUGUGCAUGAGAAUUUUGAGAUCAAUUGAAUGGUGCAAAAGAGAGAUACAAGCUCUUGAAGAUUGGCUUCAAGAUUAGAGAAGGAGGCCGGCCAAUACCCGAGAACAUUUUUGAAGUUAUCAUCAAUUUGGUAACUUCGAUCCUUUUCAAUUUUUUUGUGCUUGUUUUUAACUUAUUUUUUUAGAAGUGUGCAAAAUUUGAGUUAAGAUCAAUGGUUUAUUCAUUAGUUAUUGAGGUUUAAAUCUGAUGUAGGAAUUACUAGGGUUUGGUUUAGGAUUUGGUUUAGGAUUUGGUAAGGGUUUUAUUUAGGGUUUAGGAUUUGGUUUUGGAUUUAGUUAGGAUUUUUUUAAGGAUUUAGGGUUUUGGAUUUAAUUAGGGUUUUUUUAGGAUUUAGGAUUUAGAUUAAGGUUUGAUUUAGGAUUUAGGAUUUGAUUAGGAUUUGGUUUAGGGUUUAGGAUUUAGAUUAGGGUUUGAUUUAAGGUUUACGGUUUGGUUUAGGGUUUAGGAUUUGGAUUAAGAUUUGGUUAGGAUUUGAUUUAGGAUUUAGGAUUUGGUUUAGGAUUUUAUUAAGAUUUGAUUUAGGAUUUGGUUAAAGUUUGGCUUAAGGUUUGUUUAGGGUUUGAUUUAGGAUUUAGGAUUUUAUUAGGUUUUAAGAUUCAAUUAGUUUUGGCCUAAAGUUUGAAUGAAGUUCAAUAGGAUUUUAACUAGAAUUAAAUUAAGAUUGAAUUGAGAUGUAUUCGAGUGAUAUUUGUGAUCCUUCUAAUAUUUCUUUAAGAAUUCUUAUUGUUUGUUUGAAAUUUCUUUGAGACUUUUUUUUGAAUUUGAUUAAGCUUGCUUAGCAUUAUUAUGGUCUAAUUAGAGCAUUGUUAGUAUUCUAUUAGAAUUAGGAUUUUGUUAUUGCAAUUUCCAUUCUUCUUUCUGAAGCUAGGUACCUGGUGCAUUCUCAAGCAAGACUUUACAUAUAACGACAAUGUCCCCAAAAUCCUCUCAAUAUAGGCAUGAACAAAGGCUACUUUUGUAGACAAAAAGGAUCCUGUUGGCAAGUGGCAUCCCGAUUACUA